GAUGAACGCUGGCGGCGUGCUUAAUACAUGCAAGUCGAGCGGACGGACGCUGAUCUUGCGUCUCGCACGUGAGCCGCGCGCGGGUGAGUAACGCGUGUAUCACCUCCCUAUCAUAGUGGUAUCACUUCGGGAAACGGGAUCUUAUAGCAUAGAAGAUCCUGCAGCGCAUGGGGCAAUGGUAAGAUUCGGCGGUUGGGGAUGGACUAGAGGCGUCUCAGCUUGAUGGUGGGGUAGUGGCAUUACAAGGCUUGGACGGGUAGCCAGCCUGAGAGGGGUAACGGCCACAUUGGGACUGAGAGACGGCCCAGACUGCUACGGUAGGCAGCAGUGGGGAAUAUUGCACAAUGGGCGGAAGCCUGAUGCAGCAACGCCGCGUGCGGGAUGACGGUCUUCGGGUUGUAAACCGCGUUCGCCUGUGACGAAGCGUGAGUGACGGUAAUGGGUAAAGAAGCACCGGCUAACUACGUG
Molecule: ribosomal RNA, 468 nt
Filed under: uncultured bacterium
Lineage: Bacteria
Description: partial 16S ribosomal RNA
Rfam family: Bacterial small subunit ribosomal RNA
Source: RNAcentral